Molecule: long non-coding RNA, 1513 nt
Organism: Chenopodium quinoa (quinoa)
Lineage: Eukaryota; Viridiplantae; Streptophyta; Magnoliopsida; Caryophyllales; Amaranthaceae
Exons: 4
Source: RefSeq, a predicted model, not a curated record
UUUAGCAUUGGCCAAUGCAUCUACUCAUUUGACUUUGUUUAUUUACUUGGCAAAUAAUGAGGUAUCAUCGUGUCAAAUACAUUGUAGAUAUAUGAGUAUACAUACUUUCUUUAUAAUGUAGUUGUAGAAUUAAUUUUAAAAUAUAUUUUAAUAUGUCAUAGACCUUUCUUUUUGUUCAUCUUUCCGUUUCCUAUUUUCCUUUCUUCUGUCAACCUAGGCACCUAUAUUUUCCUUUAAACCUUAUUUUUUGUUUAAUUUCUUUCAUUUAAGAAACCCACCACCUUUCCGAAAUCAUUCAAACAACCAUACUUAUAAAAUUACCAUUUCUAUAUAAAAAUCUACCACAAAAAAAAUAAUUAAAAAAAAGCCAAAUUCAAAGAUAACAAAAGUAAAGCCAAAAAAUGAUUUACAAUAUUUUAGAUGUUAUUUCGGAAGGUGGUAGUACUAGUUGCAAGAAUGUGUAUUGCGAACCACAAAUUGGGUAGUUUACUAUUAUUAGGAGUAAAUUUUAAUUUUAAUUUUAUUUAUUUAACUUAAUUUCUAAGCUUUCGUAGGCCAUGGUUUUUUUGUGGUAAUUUAAUGGAAUUGUGGACUUAGAUUUGAGAAUGUAGGCUCAACUGAAACUCGACGAUAGUUAAUUAUAAUAAUUGUCAAGUAAUAUUCUCCCAAAUGCCCAUUUGGAGUUCAUCCAUAAGAGAGUGCAGGAAAAGCUCAAGAAUGGCAAUGAUACAGCUCAGAAGCAAAUAGAAGGAAAAGAAGAGAAAGGUACAAACUCUCUUGUUUGGGUAAAAAAUUGGGGGAAAUUGUUGAUAGAUUUGAUGAAUUGGCUGAUAAAAGGUGUCAUUUCAGCUUAGAAGCUUUGGUAAUAGCGACCCAGGGAAUUAUCGCUUCAGAUUUGAAGAUUACAAUAGUUACUCGAUGUAUUCGUCUUAAAGGCCUAGGUACACCUCUUGUUGGAUGAUAAAAUAUAUUUGCGAAGGGAAAUUAUGUUGAUGUUCAGGGGACGGCCAUGGAUCGAGUUGUAGAGCAAAUUGGUAGUCAUGUUCAAAUGAUGAAAGUUCGGGAGAAAGUGAUGUUUGUGAUCAUGUAGGGGGUGAUGGUAUAGACUUAAAUCAUGUAGGAGGUGAUGGUAUAGAUAGAAAUCAUGUACGGGGUGAUGGUAAUGACAUGAAUCAUGUAGGGGGUGAUGGGAUUGACUUAAAUCAGAUUGCACAGGAAGGUGAUGAAGGAGUGUGUGUGACUCCAUCGAGGAAUGUCCCCUUGGUGCCUCAUCCAAGUCCAUUACGGUGAUCCAAGAGCACAAUUCUUUAUGGCUGGACAUGUUCCAAACAUGGGACUCGAUGACUUCUCCGGCUAUAUAUGGUAACAUGGCUGAUAUUUACUUAGCUUGUUAAAUGUUGUUGGACCGUGUAGUAAUUUAGUAGUUUGGAUAAUGUAUGUCUUAUUUUUAAUCAUAACAGGUUAUGACGUUUUAGUUUAUAUUAAAAUCAAGAAUAUUGUUGAUUGUAUGUCA